UUGCCGCCGCCGCCGCCGCCGCUGCUGCUGGACACAUACAGGAGGAAAGAAAACAAGAAAAGCAAAGGAGGAAAAAAAAAACCACAGAAAAAAACAACACUUAAGCCAAUCUGCACUUCUUGUUCCGACGAACAUGCUUGUAUGACCAAGUGACUGUUGUGGAUCUUUGUUUAAACCCGAUAAGGAACAAACAAACAAACAACAACAAAAAAGCAGUUAAGAAACUGUCAAAGUGGUUGCAAAGCGCAGAAGGAUACGACGGUAACGAUCACACGAACACACACUCUACCACAGUAAAAACCCAGAAUCAUGCUGCCUGAGUCUUUAAUCUCUCUCUCUUUUUCUCUGUGUUUCUCUUCCUCGCUCUAUCACUUUGUCCCUUCUCUUACUUUUCAUCCUUUCUUUGUCUCUCUCUCUGUAUUCGCCCCUUUCUUCUGUUUCCUUUCUUUGUCCAUUGAUUGUUUUUUUUUCUCUCUCUCUCGCCCUGUUUGUCGUCCUGCACACCAUCAUACACAACUGUAAUAAACAAAAACAAACAAAAAAAAUAUAUAAAUAGCCUUUUAUUCAAUACAUAACUACAUGUUGGCUUGGUAGGCUUAGUUGAAACUAGUUCCAUUCCGACAAAAAAGAAUAAUAGUAAAAACAAAAUAUGAGCUUCUUUAUGUAUUGCUUCUGCCGCUGUAGUGUCCUGGUCAGAUUUAAAGAUGAUAAGACUACAUAUAUCUGAAAUACUGUAUUUACAAAUGCAUACCAGGGCUGGUCUCAACAACAACAACAAAAAAAACAACAACAACACAACAACAGGGGGGGGAGGGUUUUCAACUCCGUCCACUGGGUGACUAAUCGAUAGCUGUCGGAGGGUUUUGAAGCUCCGGCUGCUGGUUUGAGUCGUUUCCAAAUGCUUGUUUCUUCGCUUAAAGUCUUCAUAGUUUUUUAAACUCGUAGCGUUCAGCAUCGCUAAAGCUCUCAGUUGCGCUGCUGCACGUCCUUCUGCAAAAAAAAACAACUAAAAAACUAAAAAAAAAAGAAAGCAGUGCUGUAAAGAGAGGUCUGGUGGACGCACAGCCUUAGAAAGCUUCCAAGAGACUUUUAUUUUUGCAAGUGUAUAGUUUUAAUUGUAUAUUUUUCUGAUGAAUGAUUGAAUGUAUUUGCUUUGAGGAGUUAAGUAAAUGUUGUGAGGUUUACUGUCUGAAUGUCUGAAGCGGAGAGAGUCGAGCACACUAGUGGGAAACUGCGAGGAGUCUUCUUAUCAGCCAACACUGAGAUCUGGCUGGUGAAACGGCAAAAAGCAGACAUUUUAAUUUUGAAACAACUGCUCGUGACCGCAGAAAUAAAAAGCCAUACGUUUACUUCUUUCCUGGAAGGGACCGAUUUCAGAAAAAAAUCUGACAGGCGACAAGAGGUUAGAUCAUUAAUAUCUAAAAACUGUGACACAUUAUCUGACAAAAUGGCUGCUUUCUUAAAAGUAGUUGUUAAAUAUUUCAUUCGUCCUUCACAGUCUUGAGCCCUUUACUUCGAAACCAGUAACAUUUUAGGAGAUGGAUCCCCUUUGUUUUUUAAAGGCCGGGUCACGCCAGCAUGUAAAAUAGCAAAACGCUGCGGAUAAAAUCGUUGGUGAGUUUACACGGUUUUGAUCUUCCUGGCUCUCCUUUUUCCCUCGAGCUAUCACGUCUUAGUAGCUUCCCGUUAGCGGCCGAGCUAACUAGCUUGAGAACUGACAGAACAACACAUUCUCACUCCCGACUCGUCACAUAUUGACGCUUGGUUAAGGCCCUUUAGCGUCGCUGUUAAGACAUUUAAGGCUCCGCGGUCAAGUUAGCAACGCUUAGCAACAACAAAUAUGCAACGUCCGCUAGCCAUUUUGAAACGGCACGUUAUUAAAGUUGUGAACGUUGCAGUUAGGUUUAGGCAACAAAACAACUUGGUUAAGGUUCAGAAAACAUCAUGGUUUAGGUUAAAAUAACUACGUAGGUCAGUUAACACGUAAGUUAGCUAACGUCACUUGCGUAACGUACGUAAUUUACGUUGACAUUUUGUUUCACACGGGACACGAUCCCCGCUCUCCCGGUUUAAAGUCCGGGUUCUGGCCCUCCAUCCACCUCCUUACUCAGGCCUGUUAAAUAUCAUAUACCUGCCUUUACUGUCAAAACCUGACGCUACAGGGCUUCCCCUCACUGCGUUGAACCAUGACGCUAAAGGGAUCCCCAGUGCGUUACAAACCGACGCCGCUGGGUCUUGAUCAUGCGUCCAUAUCAGGAGUGGGAACGGGUUGGACAGGAAGUAAGAGAGCUCAGAGACCCACUGUGACUGAAUAAGCUUCGAUGAUCUUUGGUGUUAUCGAGGGCUUGAAGCAGUGAAGGUCUGUGUCACAGUUUCAGAUGUGUUCACGCUACAGCAGAACUCAUUGGCUGACCUCCGCCGGCUCAGGUUUUGAUGCUGCAGGCUCCAUGUUGGAGAAAUAUCCAGUACGACUAGUGUGCACGAGUACCUCCUUUGUUUCAUGUAAAGUUGCUCUGUUUGCUCACUUUGAAACGUGUCUGUCGCGUGCGCCUGCUUUGCCCAAAAAAAAAAAACUUUCAGCGAUCGCCUGACAGGAUCAAUUUUCACGACUGGUUGACGGCGUUUCGGCUUCACAGUUUUCCCUUGACUCUGAUUGUACAGGUGGUCGGUGCCGUCUGCUUUUUCCAUGAACUUUGUGGUCGACCACCUGAUUUUCUUAGUUUUAAGUUUGAUAUCUUGCCUCCAAACGGCGAUUAAAGUAGAUUUUUAACCUUCAUUUACAACCUAUAAACUUCCCUUUCUGUCAAAACAACGCCAUUUUUGAUUGGUCUAUAGACUUUUCUGCCCCGUCAGCUCUUUUUCUUCCUUCUCGUUUCUUCACAUUUAUAGCUAUAAAUAUAAAUCAAAGCGAGGUUUUAUGGGGAAUGCUGACCCCUCUAAGAUUUGUACUUAAUGUACUACAUACUUGACUUAUUCCCAACUGUAACUACAGAGUUUGUGCUACAAACCGCUCUUGUCGGAUCCAUCCUCAGUUGUCAAGUAAACUUCAGGGGUCUUUAUCCGUCCUCAGUCUUUAAAUCGCACUUUGGCACUUGGCUCAAACGUGUCACAUAGGAAACGUGAACAAAAAUGUAGAAAUACCUGCCGUGAAAGGUGAAAGCUCUGAUUGUUUUUUUGAUUUAAAAAAAAAAAAAAAAAAAGUCACUUUUUAGGGCUCGAGUUAAUCAAAACAAAAGUAUUUUCUCCUCAGAUCACUUUGUUAACGGUUGAUUUAAACAAAAAAGAAAAACGUGUUUUGAGGCCGUCGUGUUGUAUUUAAAUGCAAACUUUCUGCAAUGCAAAUCCACAUGCUGUAGGUGCUGACAGGGUUCAAAUCUAAAUGGAUAACUGAUGUACAAUCUUUUGCAAAAUUACAAUCAUGGAUAAAAUCCCAAACCAAAAUAAUGAACCAGAAAUUCUUUUGGUUUCUUUGUUCUUGUGGUUAAACUAGACGGCCUGGGUUUGGCCAUAUUUUAAUCAAAAGAUGUUUUUUUUUGAGAGCUCUCUGAAGUCAGACAUGUUUCCUUUGUAGUUUUAAACGCUGACUGAUUUUAAAAACUAGCAGACUUUUCUACACGCCAACCGCUGCUCAUGAGGGGAGACUUUCACGGGAUAUUCGAGUUGUUAACUCUCUGAGCAGAGUAGCGUCUCGUCUUCUGCGGUUUUCCCCACUAGAGAGCAGAAAUACGAAUCACAGUUGAGCCACAAACCCAACCCGACUGCGAGGUGCGAGCAGGAGGAGAGUUUAUGAUUUCUUUUUGGGGAAACCAGGUGCACUAAAUGUCUUUCUGAGGGGAGUUGAGGCCAGCCCUGCUUCAUAACUGAGGUUCUGCUUCUUCUACUACUGCUACUAUCAAACAACCAGCCCUGGGCACAAAAACAAGCCUGAACACUGUUUCAAAUCCUCCCUCCAGUACCAGAGGUGCGUUUGAUUUUUUUUAAAUUCAUAUACCAGCAUUUUUAAAAGCCAAACCCAAAGUGGAGCACCCGGCUUGUUUCCGUUUAGUUCCCGACGUGACGAAGACACUUCUGUUUAUCACCUCGGGACCCAAAAAGAGGCUGCGAUUCCUCAGUUUGGGCACCGAGUUGAAAAGUGUUUUCUGACAAAAAUAGCCAUCGAUAUUUGUUUUUACGUUGAUAUGAAAAGUAUUCAAGCAAGUUUCUGUUGCCCAGGUCAGCAAAACAACCUGUUGAUGUCUGCUGUAUUUCAAUAAAACACAGCCUUUUUCAAAGGGUACACCUCUUCA
Molecule: long non-coding RNA, 4286 nt
Organism: Micropterus dolomieu (smallmouth bass)
Lineage: Eukaryota; Metazoa; Chordata; Actinopteri; Centrarchiformes; Centrarchidae
Exons: 2
Source: RefSeq, a predicted model, not a curated record